CUUGGUAACAAUUUGAAGCUAAUUAUCACUCAUGGGCUAGUAACAGACCUGCUGGGAUCCAAAUCUGCUUAAUUUCCUGUGAGGAGUCCAGUGGCAUCUUAAAGACUAACAGAUUUAUUUGGGCAUAAGCUUUACCUACAAAAGCUUAUGCCCAAAUAAAUCUGUUAGUCUUUAAGAUGCCACCAGACUCCUCCUUGUUUUUGUGGAUACAGGCUAACCAGGCUACACCCUGAUACUUAAUUUCCUGUAUAUUUCACAUUCUGAAGCAUAACUUCAACCUAACCAUUUGUCUCUUUUCCCAUCCCCUUUGUGGGGAUGGAGAGGGAUGUUAGAGUCAGCAUGCAACCAGAUAUGUUAGGUAAAAACACAAGAUACUUGUUCCGGAUGAUUGCAACAUAACACUACUUUAUUUGUUAAAAUCCAGAACGUUAAACACUCAAAAACCGAAAACACAGAAAGCAGACUGCUCAGUAAGGCAGACUGGCACAGUUCACCCCACUGUGCUGUACAACAGCUCUUCGCAGACUGCAGAAGACCCAGAUUGCAUGCUUCCCUAUAGAGCCCCCUAGCCUGCAAGCAGGACCAGGAAAUCCCUUAUAAUUUAAAGCAACAGCUUAUAUUAUGAAUAAGGCUAUGUUUGUUUCAGCCCCAGGGGCCGAGGGACUGCAGCUGGCAGCCAUCAGGGCCCAGAAAGGAUUCCAGCAACAGGACAGCCUCCUCACGGGGCCCUCUGCAAGAUUCUAGUGACAGGCGACAGCCUCCUGAGGGGGCCUCCUCAGGGUUCCAGAGAUGGGCUACAGCCUCGCACAGUAAGGGGGGGGGGGGAGAGUAGUGAUGCACAGAGACAUCUUGUUCUUCAUCUCAAGGUGACCCUCCUGCCCAUCUCAAUGGCUCUUACUGGCGGAGAUGAUAGCUCUACAUAAGAAGGUGUCAAACUAAAUUUGAUAUUGUAAUGAGUUCCUAUCCAAUCUCUGCCAUACUACAGAAAUUAGGAAAAUGAUAGCUGGAGGGAAUCCUCUUCCUGUGUCUAAGUCCUGAAAAUCACACUGAAAUGCUGACACCUGCAGCCGUCCUGGAAAGCUGAGAACCAAUUCCUGUAGGGCAUUUGUGGAAGGGGUCAGCUUUUCCUAGUCCUCAAAGUCUGAAAUAGUAUCUUGUGGCGAUAGCAUUGAGGGAUAAGGGCUUACAGAGUUCUACAUCAGCAGAGUAUACUGAAACAGCAUGAACUGGUGAAAGGUUGAGAGAAAGUAAAGACCAGCCUCAUCCAUUAGCUCCUGAUUUAGAGAAGACAACAUCCAGCGCUUGCUUUUGAUGACAGGCGUAGAUGUUGACAAUAAACAGUGUCCUAAAAUCACAGAUAACCAGCCAGCAAGCCAUGAGCUCAAUUACACUUGUAAAUCAGAAGACUGAGGGGUUUUUUGGUAUGUCAUUCUUUAUUGAAGUGUUGCUGUGAAAUAUAAACAAAAGAAAAUAAUUUUGAAAUGUUGGAAGACAAUAUUAGGGGUUGUGUGCAGAAAUACUAUCCAGCAUUAAAUUAAUUGUA
Molecule: long non-coding RNA, 1543 nt
Organism: Dermochelys coriacea (leatherback sea turtle)
Lineage: Eukaryota; Metazoa; Chordata; Testudines; Dermochelyidae
Exons: 3
Source: RefSeq, a predicted model, not a curated record